RNAcentral lists this ribosomal RNA (253 nucleotides) under uncultured bacterium. Its description in RNAcentral is "partial 16S ribosomal RNA". It matches the Rfam family "Bacterial small subunit ribosomal RNA", at positions 524 to 776 of the family's 1533-position model. The record is from RNAcentral.
UACAGAGGGUGCGAGCGUUGUCCGGAAUCACUGGGCGUAAAGGGCGCGUAGGUGGCCUGAUAAGUAGGGGGUGAAAUCUCGAGGCUCAACUUCGAGGCUGCCUCCUAAACUGUCAGGCUUGAGCAGAGUAGAGGCAGGUGGAAUUCCCGGUGUAGCGGUGGAAUGCGUAGAUAUCUGGAGGAACACCGGUGGCGAAGGCGGCAUCCUGGACCGGUAUUGACGCUGAGGCGCGAAAGCUAGGGGAGCAAACGGG